Molecule: long non-coding RNA, 526 nt
Filed under: Mytilus galloprovincialis (Mediterranean mussel)
Lineage: Eukaryota; Metazoa; Mollusca; Bivalvia; Mytilida; Mytilidae
Source: RNAcentral
GUGGAAAGACCAUCAAUGGUUCUCUGAACAAUUGGUUUUUAAUUUUUUUUUUUUUCUUCCGCCUAAUUUUUUUUCCUUCGCUGUUUUUUUGUUUCGCAAGAUGUCGCUUAGAUUUUUUGGAAUAUGAUAUCGACAGUUUAUACGCUUUUGAAACCAACUCUGCUUAACCGAAUACUUUCCCAAAUAAGAGUUAUCUCCCCAAACACUGUUUUUCUUGUUAUCUCUAAGGCUUCGCAACCGUAUAAGAAACGGACAAAUUUAUUUUUUCAAAUUGCUCGUUAUAUCCUCAGGAUGUUCUGUUUUAUUUUGACCGAAGCCGUAUAUAGAUUCCAUAUGAGAGUUAUCCCCCCUUUUAUGUUUAAUAUAAGAAUAUGCAUUUCUAACUGGUAAACCAUAAGUGAUAGAGACCUAGGGUCUUUUGAUUUGAGAUCCUUGGUCCAAAAAAAUGAAAAUAAGGUCAAGGUCAAAGGUCAAGGUCAUAUUAUAAAUUUUGAUUUUGGCUUAUUUUCACUUAUUUUCAAAAUCU